Molecule: long non-coding RNA, 421 nt
Organism: Fukomys damarensis (Damara mole-rat)
Lineage: Eukaryota; Metazoa; Chordata; Mammalia; Rodentia; Bathyergidae
Exons: 3
Source: RefSeq, a predicted model, not a curated record
GUGCCAGCCGACGAUGGAUUGAACCUCUACAAACUGACAGAGUGGGGCUAGAUGUGGCCGCUGCCCACCCUGCAAGUUCCGGAUAAUGAUUCCCAUUUCGCAGAUGAAGGGAUGGAACAGGGGGAGGCUACAGGACAUCUUCAAAGUCUCAUAAUUACAGCCAGGAUCUGUAGCCAGAUCCGGAGAACUCUGGAGCAGGGAUUCUCCUUGCCACUAAGCCCCUAGGAGCAACACUCUACACGUUUGGCAGGGACAAGGGUUUAUGCUCCAUGCAAGAACAGAUUCCAUUUUUUAUGUUACAAGGUGAGUGAUUCACAGGACUGCAGUUUACCUCAAUUCUGGGUCCAGCCAUCAGGCUGCUUUCAUUCUUGGUUUUUGUCACCCAAACUGGGUUGAGAAAGCCAGUGCCCAUGACUCCUGG